Molecule: long non-coding RNA, 1098 nt
Organism: Oncorhynchus kisutch (coho salmon)
Lineage: Eukaryota; Metazoa; Chordata; Actinopteri; Salmoniformes; Salmonidae
Source: Ensembl
AUGUGUCAAGUAAUUAUCUUUUUGUUUUGUCAUUAUUUGGUUGGGUCUAAUUGUGUUGCUUCUCUCUCUCUCCCUCUCCUUCCUCUCUCUCCUCUCUCUCUCUCCUUCUCCUUCCUCUCUCUCUUUCUCCUCUCUCCUUCCUCUCUCUCUUUCUCCUCUCUCCUCUCUCUCUCUCCCUCUCCUUCCUCUCUCUCUCUCCCUCUCCUUCCUCUCUCUCUCCCUCUCCUUCCUCUUCUCUCCUCUCUCUCUCCCUCUCCUUCCUCUCUCUCUUUCUCCUCUCUCCUUCCUCUCUCUCUUUCUCCUCUCUCCUCUCUCUCUCUCCCUCUCCUUCCUCUCUCUCUCUCCCUCUCCUUCCUCUCUCUCUCUCUCUCCCUCUCCUUCCUCUCUCUGUCUCCCUCUGCUUCCUAUCUCUGUCUCCCUCUCCUUCCUCUCUCUGUCUCCCUCUCCUUCCUCUCUCUCUCUCCCUCUCCUUCCUCUCUCUCUCUCCCUCUCCUUCCUCUCUCUCCCUCUCAUUCCUCUCUCUCUCUCCUCUCUCUCUCUCCUUCUCCUCUCUCUCUCUCUCCUUCCUCUCUCUCUCCAUCUCUCUCCUCUCUCUCUCCCUCCAUCUCCUCUCUCUCUCUCUCUCUCUCCUUCCCCUCUUUCUCUCUCCUCUCUCUCUCCUUCUCCUCUCUCUCUCCCUCUCCUUCCUCUCUCUCUCUCCCUCUCCUUCCUCUCUCUCUUUCUCCUCUCUCCUCUCUCUCUCUCCCUCUCCUUCCUCUCUCUCUCUCUCUCCCUCUCCUUCCUCUCUCUCUCUCCUCUCUCUCUCUCCCUCUCCUUCCUCUCUCUGUCUCCCUCUCCUUCCUCUCUCUCUCUCCUCUCUCUCCUCUCUCGCUCUCCCUCUCCUUCCUCUCUCUGUCUCCCUCUCCUUCCUCUCUCUCUCUCUCUCUCUCUCCCUCUCCUUCCUCUCUCCUUCCUCUCUCUCUCUAUCCCUCUCCUUCCUCUCUGUGUCUCCCUCUCCUUCCUCUCUCUCUCUCUCUCCUCUCUCUCCUCUCUCUCUCUCCUUCUCCUUUCUACAGGUGGUACUCCCUACCUUUAUCCUGGAGAAGCGUUCCCUCCUAG